Molecule: long non-coding RNA, 674 nt
Filed under: Nicotiana benthamiana
Lineage: Eukaryota; Viridiplantae; Streptophyta; Magnoliopsida; Solanales; Solanaceae
Description: long non-coding RNA (NBEN_LNC033148)
Source: RNAcentral
AAAUUUGAUAUUGAAAAGAAAAUAAAGAAACAAAUUGAGAUAAUUUCUUCAUUGCAAUGUAAACUUUUAGUUUCACAAAGGGUGAAAACCCUUUUACAUAUACAUGCAUGUAGGUAUAUAUAAUGUCUCACCAUUCUCUUGUGAAUAGUGUAAAACUGAAAGCAUAGAGAAAAAUAAAGAAGGAAUUUUGAACUUUUUUUGUUUUUUUUUUCUUCUUAGAGAAAAAUUCAAGAGAAAACUGGAGGAAGACUAACCAUGGAUUCUCUACUCACAAUCAUUUUCUUUAAAUAUUUCAAUUUGCUAAUAAAUUGUUUGUGAACCCCACCUUUGGCAACAGAAAAUGUUAAGAAUAUGCUCUUUUUUAGCGUAUUUAAUCUCCUUCCAAUCUUGACCUUCAACUUGUAGAAUUUCACUUUCAGCCAUAGGACAUUCUUUCUCUUAGACACAACAGAAUCUGCUUUAUUUAGUGACUUGUAAAUCAAGAACUGUGCUUUUCUAUGUUUUAUAUCUUCAGGAUCUUCUCUUUCAAUCUUGGAAUAAACAUGUUGUUUAUUGAGAAAAGUAGUCAUUUAUAGGAAAUUGAAUAUUUUAUGGUAUAAGAAAAAUAGAAUAGAAGAGCUUCAGAAAAUUAAAUAUGGGAAUUUAAACACUUAGAAGUGAGGGUGAGAAAUGGA